AUUGAACGCUGGCGGCAGGCCUAACACAUGCAAGUCGAGCGGAUGAAGGGAGCUUGCUCCUGGAUUCAGCGGCGGACGGGUGAGUAAUGCCUAGGAAUCUGCCUGGUAGUGGGGGAUAACGUCCGGAAACGGGCGCUAAUACCGCAUACGUCCUGAGGGAGAAAGUGGGGGAGCUUCGGACCUCACGCUAUCAGAUGAGCCUAGGCCGGAUUAGCUAGUUGGUGGGGUAAAGGCCUACCAAGGCGACGAUCCGUAACUGGUCUGAGAGGAUGAUCAGUCACACUGGAACUUAGACACGGUCCAGACGCCUGCGGGAGGCAGCAGUGGGGAAUAGUGGACAAUGGGCGAAAGCCUGAUCCAGCCAUGCCGCGUGUGUGAAGAAGGUCUUCGGAUUGUAAAGCACUUUAAGUUGGGAGGAAGGGCAGUAAGUUAAGACCUUGCUGUUUUGACGUUACCAACAGAAUAAGCACCGGCUAACUUCGUG
This 484-nucleotide ribosomal RNA is filed under the name uncultured bacterium. Its description in RNAcentral is "partial 16S ribosomal RNA". It matches the Rfam family "Bacterial small subunit ribosomal RNA", at positions 30 to 507 of the family's 1533-position model. The record is from RNAcentral.